AGUUAUUUACCUAUAAAAGGUAUUAUGUUUUGAAAGCAUAUAAGAGAGGUUAAACUCCUCUAAUAACUU
RNAcentral lists this transfer RNA (69 nucleotides) under Geoscapheus rugulosus. RNAcentral's name for it is "tRNA-Ser". It matches the Rfam family "tRNA". Rfam says of the family: Transfer RNA (tRNA) molecules are approximately 80 nucleotides in length. Lineage: Eukaryota; Metazoa; Arthropoda; Insecta; Blattodea; Blaberidae. The record is from RNAcentral.